Long non-coding RNA from Gallus gallus (chicken), 1268 nucleotides. Lineage: Eukaryota; Metazoa; Chordata; Aves; Galliformes; Phasianidae. The record is from Ensembl.
AUUGCCAAGGAACAGGAGAAGGAGGCAAGUAGAUCCUUACUCUUUGGAGGAGGAGAGGCAGGAGAACACCAGCCCACCAGAAAAUGGCUGAAAGAACAGCCCUGGGUAAGUUUAGAAAGUGUGAAGAGUAUUGCAAGAGUACUGCGGGCUCUCUGAUGAAGAAAUCUGCACUGGAGUGGAGUGGAAAUUUGUAUGGAGCAGUCUCGCUAGCGUGUGCGAAAUAGAGCCUGCAGCCAUGCACAAAAUAAAGAUUAAAAAGCAUUAAAUUACUCCCAGUGCACCAAAGGAGGCAUGGUUCCAAUUGAGAAGUUGCAGUAAUCCCACACCAAAUGGAUUACGUGGUCGUAAACUCUUAAGUGCGUAUGUACGACCACUUGAAUUACAGCACGCUCGAAGCUUCUUUUUCUUUCCCUUCAACUUUUGCACGCCAGAUUCUGUCACAUUAAAAUGCAUAAUUUAAACCAGAAGUCAGCCACUCAGCCAUCUCUUCAGUGCCAGAGCACCUGCGCACUUACUUCUGCAGAGCUAGUUAGGAUCUGGCUGUAUUGCGGAACGCAGGCUGGCCUUGCAGCCUCCGCAGCUGAGCUCCUCAGCUUUUGCUAGAGCUUGGCAUCCUCUGAGUAUUCCUGCUCAGGCUUGGCACUGUGCCACUCCCCAAGUGACUGGCUGGGAAGUAUGUAUCUGGGAGGAAGGGUUGCCUUCCCACAGCGAAGUUUUUAAGUGGAACCUCUGGGGUGUUUCCAGCAUGCAGCAGCGCUUGCUGAGCAGCCCUCCCGUGGGAAUAUGUUGAAAUGCAGUUACAGACGUGAGGAUGAUCACGAGAGGGGGAAAAAAAAGUGCUGCCUUAUUCAACAGAUUUGUUGCAGAUGUGACUUCAGAACAAGUUCUUACCAUCCCUGGUUCUGCUACAGCAGAGCGCAACCAACCUGAGCCCACCCAGCAGUGCUGUGUCAGGAACAGAUUGGGAUCUGAUGGCACAACAGCUGGGCUUUCUCCUCUUUGCCUUCGCUCUUCUGUGCGUGUGCGCGAGUGCGUGUUGCAUCUGCGCUAAGUGUAUAGGGAAGUUAUCCUGAAGAGUAACGUCACUACCAGCAGAAAUCCUUCCUUGCGCUUCAAAAUGCUGACACAGUUGAAAGGAGCGGGGAGUGGCACAGUAAGCACAGUAAGAAGAUACUACAGGAAAAACCUAGAUGAACUCGUUUUUAGAUUUUCCAGCAAAAUGACAACUAUGCCUUGAGGUGAAAUAAUAAUAAUAAUAAAAAAAUCAG